GUUAAGUCCCGCAACGAGCGCAACCCUUAAGCUUAGUUGCCAUCAUUAAGUUGGGCACUCUAAGUUGACUGCCGGUGACAAACCGGAGGAAGAUGGGGAUGACGUCAAAUCAUCAUGCCCCUUAUGAUUUGGGCUACACACGUGCUACAAUGGACAAUACAAAGGGCAGCGAAACCGUGAGGUCAAGCAAAUCCCAUAAAGUUGUUCUCAGUUCGGAUUGUAGUCUGCAACUCGACUACAUGAAGCUGGAAUCGCUAGUAAUCGUAGAUC
RNAcentral lists this ribosomal RNA (270 nucleotides) under Staphylococcus aureus. Its description in RNAcentral is "partial 16S ribosomal RNA". It matches the Rfam family "Bacterial small subunit ribosomal RNA", at positions 1079 to 1350 of the family's 1533-position model. The record is from RNAcentral. Lineage: Bacteria; Bacillati; Bacillota; Bacilli; Caryophanales; Staphylococcaceae.